AUAUGAGUGUUCUUGUUUACCUGGGUAUGAACCCAAGUUCCCAAAGGACUGGCAUCUAAGAGAUGGGUCAGGUGGGUGCAUCAGGAAGCGACUGGAAUCUUCCUCGGUUUGUGGACAUGAAGAAGGGUUUGUGAAACUGUCAAUGGUUAAGAUUCCUGUUUCUUCAGCAGCUGUCUGGGUUGAUAUGAGUAUGAGUCAGAUGGACUGCCAAAAAGAGUGCAAGAAUAAUUGUUCCUGCACUGCAUAUGCAAGUAUACCAAUUGCUGGGAAAGGAACCGGUUGCUUAUCAUGGUAUGGGGAAAUAAUGGAUACAAUAGAUCAUACAUAUUAUGGAUACGAUCUCUAUGUUCGUGUUGAUGCUGUUGAAUUAGCUAAGCAAGCAAGGAAAUCAUACCGUUCUCUUAAAAUGAAGGGGACGCUGCCCAUUCUAGUACUGUGUGUUGCCUCUGUAUGGUUUGUCGUUACCAUAUUUACCUGUUUAUGGUUGAGGAGAAAAGUAAAGAAAAGAAGGAAUAGAAGAUCAGUUGAUCAAAUCAGUGGCUACAAAGAUACUUUUACUGCAAAUGAGCUAGGGGACAGCAAUAAGCAUCCAGAUUUGGCCUUUUUAAGUCUCAACACCAUAUUAGUUGCCACUAACAAUUUAUCUUCAGCUAACAAAAUAGGGCAAGGUGGUUUUGGAUCUGUUUAUAAGGUAAAAUAUCCCUCACAAUGUUUAAACCUCAAGGAUUUCUUAGUGUGAUGCAUGUACAAUUUCCUGCCUCUCUCUGUUUUAUUGAAAAGUUAUGUGCGAUCAAACUGGCUUUAAAUUGAUUGAAAUGGUUCCAGGGUCGGCUGGCUAAUGGACAGGACAUUGCUGUAAAAAGACUAUCCAAAAAUUCAGGGCAAGGAAAAGAAGAAUUCAAAAAUGAAGUUAUGUUGAUCGCAAAACUUCAGCACAAGAAUCUGGUGAAGCUCAUAGGAUGCUGCAUUCAGGGAGAAGAAC
This 982-nucleotide unclassified non-coding RNA is filed under the name Hevea brasiliensis (rubber tree). The record is from RNAcentral. Lineage: Eukaryota; Viridiplantae; Streptophyta; Magnoliopsida; Malpighiales; Euphorbiaceae.